This 468-nucleotide ribosomal RNA is filed under the name uncultured bacterium. RNAcentral's name for it is "partial 16S ribosomal RNA". It matches the Rfam family "Bacterial small subunit ribosomal RNA", at positions 28 to 507 of the family's 1533-position model. The record is from RNAcentral.
GACGAACGCUGGCGGCGUGCUUAACACAUGCAAGUCGAACGGAAAGGCCCUGCUUUUGUGGGGUUCUCGAGUGGCGCACGGGUGAGUAACCCGGGAGUAACCUGCCCUUGACUUUGGGAUAACUUCAGGAAACUGGGGCUAAUACCGGAUAGGAGCUCCUGCUGCAUGGUGGGGGUUGGAAAGUUUCGGCGGUUGGGGAUGGACUCGCGGCUAAUCAGCUUGUUGGUGGGGUAGUGGCUUACCAAGGCUUCGACGGGUGGCCGGCCUGGGAGCUGGAACGGCGACAAUGGGACUAAGGUAGGGAGCAGACUCGUACGGGAGGCAGCAGUGGGGAGUAUUGCACAGUGGGCGGGAGCGUGAGACAGCGACGCCGCGAGCGGGAUGACCGCCUUCGGGUUGUAAACCGCUUUCGCUUGUGACGAAGCGUGAGUGACGGUAAUGGGUAAAGAAGCACCGGCUAACUACGUG